UGACGUGAGGUCAUGUCUCGUAGGAGGGAGCGGGGGUGUUUGUUGGGUGGACGGUGGAUUAAGAUUGACGAAGGCUCGGCUGUUCCACAGGCUGCUGAAGAACAUCAAAUCACAAAGUUGACUUCAAUCCAGAAAAGGUUCUCAUCCCAAAACGGUGACUGUCCCACUGAGUUCUGUAGCAGUCCGUGUGCUGCUCUGGAUUCCAGCAUCUGUAGUCUCUUGUCUUAAUUUUGACACUCUUGAAGCAGACUGAUAAUUGAUGCAUGGUGCUGUAUAUGGUGCAGCUGUAGAACUCAGUCCACUUGGACUGAAGCCAUGGAUUUCCCAGAAUGUGCAAAGGAUCUUGGCACUGGGUGAGGACUCCCAGAAUGAGGCUGCAUCUCCCAGAAUAGUACAUGGUUCUCCAAGAAUGAAGCCAGGGAUCGAAAAUGAGAAACAGGUCUUCCACUCAGUCAAGACUAGGAGAAAAGCCACAGAAAUUCAUACACUACUGCCAUGAACAAAUACAAAUACAAAGCAUUGUAUCAGGGGAAGGAGUGCAUCUGGAGUCGAGAAGAAGGAAGACCACAAUCUGUGCAGAUUGUUGAUAACAUCUCCUCCUCGCUGACGAUCAACACUGGUGCACUUCAGGGGUGUAUGCUUAGCCCACAGCUCUACUCCCUCUAUACACAUGACUGAGUGGCUAGGUAUAGAACAAAUACCACCUAUAAAAUUGCUGAUGAUACAACCAUUGUUGGUGGAAUCUCAGAUGGUGACAAGAGGGCAUAUAGGAGUGAGAUAUGCCAACCAGUGGAGUAAUGUCACAUCAAAAACAUGGCACUCAACGGAGCUGAUUGUGGACUUUAGGAAGGGUAAGACGAAGGAACACAUACCGAUCCUAAUAGAGGGAUCAGAAGUGGAGAGAGUGAGUAGUUUCAAGUUCCUGGGUGUCAGUAUCUCUGAGGAACUAACCUUGUCCCAACAUAUUGAUGCUGUUAUAAAGAAGGCAAGACAGUGACUAUACUUCAUUACAAGUUUGAAGAGAUUUGGUAUGUCAACAAAUACACUCAAAAACUUCUGUAGAUGUACCGUGGUGAGCA
Mobula hypostoma (lesser devil ray) is the source of this 1079-nucleotide long non-coding RNA. RefSeq lists it as uncharacterized. The record is from RefSeq and is a predicted model, not a curated record. The transcript has 3 exons. Lineage: Eukaryota; Metazoa; Chordata; Chondrichthyes; Myliobatiformes; Myliobatidae.